AGUGUAGUUAAUAGCUGCAUUAUUUGACGUUAGCGACAGAAGAAGCACCGGCUAACUCCGUGCCAGCAGCCGCGGUAAUACGGAGGGUGCGAGCGUUAAUCGGAAUUACUGGGCGUAAAGCGCAUGCAGGUGGUUUGUUAAGUCAGAUGUGAAAGCCCGGGGCUCAACCUCGGAAUUGCAUUUGAAACUGGCAGACUAGAG
This 201-nucleotide ribosomal RNA is filed under the name Vibrio parahaemolyticus. RNAcentral's name for it is "partial 16S ribosomal RNA". It matches the Rfam family "Bacterial small subunit ribosomal RNA", at positions 446 to 646 of the family's 1533-position model. The record is from RNAcentral. Lineage: Bacteria; Pseudomonadati; Pseudomonadota; Gammaproteobacteria; Vibrionales; Vibrionaceae.